AGGAAGGUAGUGUAGUUAACACCUGCAUUAUUUGACGUUACCUACAGAAGAAGCACCGGCUAACUCCGUGCCAGCAGCCGCGGUAAUACGGAGGGUGCGAGCGUUAAUCGGAAUUACUGGGCGUAAAGCGCAUGCAGGCGGCCUGUUAAGUCAGAUGUGAAAGCCCGGGGCGUUAACCUCGGAAUUGCAUUUGAAACUGGCAGGCUAGAGUCUUGUAGAGGGGGGUAGGAAGUUUCAGGUGUAGCGGUGAAAUGCGUAGAGAUCUGAAGGAAUACCAGUGGCGAAGGCGGCCCCCUCGGACAAAGACUGACGCUCAGAUGCGAAAGCGUGGGGAGCAAACAGGAUUAGAUACCCUGGUAG
RNAcentral lists this ribosomal RNA (360 nucleotides) under uncultured bacterium. RNAcentral's name for it is "bacterial SSU rRNA". It matches the Rfam family "Bacterial small subunit ribosomal RNA", at positions 441 to 793 of the family's 1533-position model. The record is from RNAcentral.